CUCCGGUGAUCCCUGCCGGACCCGACUGCUAUCAGAGUGGGACUAAGCCAUGCGAGUCAACAUAGCAAUAUGUGGCAUACGGCUCAGUAACACGUAGUCAACAUGCCCAGGGGACGUGGAUAACCUCGGGAAACUGAGGAUAAACCGCGAUAGGUCAUCACUUCUGGAAUGGGUAGUGACUUAAAUCUAUAUGGCCCCUGGAUUGGACUGCGGCCGAUCAGGCUGUUGGUGAGGUAAUGGCCCACCAAACCUGUAACCGGUACGGGCUCUGAGAGGAGGAGCCCGGAGAUGGGCACUGAGACAAGGGCCCAGGCCCUAUGGGGCGCAGCAGGCGCGAAACCUCUGCAAUAGGCGAAAGCUUGACAGGGUUACUCUGAGUGAUUUCCGUUAAGGAGAUCUUUUGGCACCUCUAAAAAUGGUGCAGAAUAAGGGGUGGGCAAGUCUGGCGUCAGCCGCCGCGGUAAUACCAGCACCCCGAGUGGUCGGGACGUUUAUUGGGCCUAAAGCAUCCGUAGCCGGUUCUACAAGUCUUCCGUUAAAUCCACCUGCUUAACAGAUGGGCUGCGGAAGAUACUAUAGAGCUAGGAGGCGGGAGAGGCAAGCGGUACUCGAUGGGUAGGGGUAAAAUCCGUUGAUCCAUCGAAGACCACCAGUGGCGAAGGCGGCUUGCCAGAACGCGCUCGACGGUGAGGGAUGAAAGCUGGGGGAGCAAACCGGAUUAGAUACCCGGGUAGUCCCAGCUGUAAACGAUGCAGACUCGGUGAUGAGUUGGCUUAUUGCUAACUCAGUGCCGCAGGGAAGCCGUUAAGUUUGCCGCCUGGGGAGUACGGUCGCAAGACUGAAACUUAAAGGAAUGGCGGGGGAGCA
Molecule: ribosomal RNA, 867 nt
Filed under: uncultured archaeon
Lineage: Archaea
Description: bacterial SSU rRNA
Rfam family: Archaeal small subunit ribosomal RNA
Source: RNAcentral